AGGGUAGAUAAGAACUUGCUGCAAGCAAAAUAAAAGACCAAGCCUCUCUCUAUAUAAAAAGGCAUAUACGUUAUAUAUACAUAUCUACCAUACAUGUACCUACAUACCUAGAAGUAUUUUAUAUAUGAGUGUUUGUGUAUAAAUCUAUUUUUACUUAUGUUUUAGAUACACCACCUUAUGCUGGGUUUGAUUCAGUGGUCAUAAAUGUGGACUGCAAGAGAGAUGCUGCCCAAAGAAAGAAAUGGUUUGGUUGGCUCAAAUGGUGAAUUCCCUUUAAUAACAGAGUUACUAAGGACUAUUACUAAAGACUAUUCUGCUGAACAAUGUUGACCCUAUCCUCUUGUUGCUUUCCUCUUUGAGAAAAUAAUUCACACUGUGGUGAAAGCCUAGAGUGACUGCAUUGUAUACACUGCCAAUUCAGGGUGGAGAGAGGGUGGCCCCAUGUGAAUAAGGUUUCUUAGAUGGAGUCUGGUACUUACCCCAAAGAAGAACUGAUCCUUUGAGGAAAUAUGCAGGAAGAAAUAUUCACUUAAAUUCUCUCUGAUUUAUGAUGAACAGUACCUGCCCGUCUUAAAGGAAUAUUGACCUCCUUUUUCACAAGAGGAAAAGAUAUGAGACCUGAAAAAUUCAAACCAAUUCUAGGAAUGUGUUCUUUUCACAACCAAAUCUUUUCAGAGAAGCUGUUUCUUGUGAUCCAUUUCUCAAAUGCACUCACAGAAGGCAUUGGGAAGUGAUUCGAGCUUACAGUGUCUAAGAGUAAUAACUCCUGUUAAUUGAGCACUUACCAUGUGUCAGGUGCUGAGCUAUGUGUUUUACCUAUAUUUAUCUGUUUAUGUCUUAACAAUGAUCCUAUUAGGUGCACCCUAUUUAUGUCUACAUUUUAUAGAGAAGAAAACUAAGGUAUGGAAAGGGUAAGUAACAAAUCCACUGUCACACAAUCAGUAAGUGGCAGAAGCAGAUUUCAACACAGGCAGCCAGGCUCCAGGCCCCAUCACUGUAACCCCAUCACUAUACCAAUACACCUUGCAUUGGUUUGGGAAUGGUGCUGAAGGUUCCAAAAACUCAGAAUAAAUUAGGAAAAAUCAGCUGGUUCCCACUGAUUUUGAGGGUUCUCCAUUACUGAUGGGAAGUCUUGGAAAAUAUCUACAGAAAAAGUGAAAACAGCAAUAGCAUCAAAGGUUCUGAUGAAAGCAGUGUCUCAUUGUGACUCAAUCCUUGGAAAAAAGUCAAGACUCCUGUUUUCCCCUGCUCAGCACUGACUACUGCAGUAGAGGCAGGAAGCACAGUGGAGUUUAACUCUUGUGCUGGUGGCACACCAUGGUCAACCACUGUUACCACUAAUUGCUAGUAUUGAGGGGACCUUACCUCACCCAUGAUCCUGGAUCCUACCCCUGACCAGCUGAAGAAUAAUGGAGGAAGAGAAAACAUGGAGGGAUCAAGAAAUAAAAAGAAGGUCAUGUGCUGAAGAAUAUGAGGGAAGAGUGGAGUUAGAAGAGGAGCAAGGUAAAACAGAACUACCUGACUCCAGCAUGAAAAUCCUCUUGAGAAACUCUCCUGCAGAGCUUGUCUCCCAGCCACGUCUACAUAUAUGCCUCUGUGGAUAGUACAUUAAUACUACUCACAAUAGAAGAGAGAAGAGGAACAUCCCCAUAGUUACUACAGCAAUUAACACAUCAAGCAUUGAGAAGCAUGAUGAAAGUGGGACCGGCAGCCAUGGCCCCCAAAGAUCCUAAAGGUGAAGGCUUGAAUCUAUCUCUCUAUUUCAUGGUCAUCCACUAGCUAGAGGAAGAAAAUUCAGAAUAUGCCUCCAGACUCCCACAUACACAGAAAAUCUCACCAGUGUAAAACCAAUUUGUUUUACUUUAAUACUCAGAGAUUGUUGUUUUCUGAAUGGUUAAGCAUCAAAAGCUGCCAAGAUACUGUGCAAAAUGAAAUUUAAAAUAGCAUGUUUAGCAAUUAAAUCUCAGUAAAUUGGCUAGUAUCAGUGCAAUAAAGUGCAAUAUACAAACACUGCUUUUCCACUUAAAUAAAAACCUAAGGGGAAAACCCAUAUAACAGAGACUCUCAGAUUUCAACACCCCUUCUCCACCCAAGAUAUUGAAGAUAGGAUCAAAUAUAUUGCAAGAUGUCUGCUGCACUUACAAGCUUUUCAAAUGCCUUCCCUACGAAGCCAGUUUCCCUUGUGCUCCAUCAAUUAUUUCUUUGUUUUGCCUGAACGGUGCUUGUAAACUCCUCAAGGUGUGCUCCUGGGCAGUUAUGCACAUUUGAGAUUUUUCCCUUCUGAUCCCUACUUGGCUGUCUCUGGACCAGAACUGAUUUGCAGGCAAGGGAAAACUGCUGAAAAUUUCAUGACAUUUAGAUUUAAAAAGCAUAUGGUAGUGGCUCAAUAGGUUUGCUUACCUUGGAUUAAAACCUAUUAACGUUCCAGCA
Long non-coding RNA from Acinonyx jubatus (cheetah), 2430 nucleotides. RefSeq lists it as uncharacterized. The record is from RefSeq and is a predicted model, not a curated record. The transcript has 5 exons. NCBI's taxonomy places the organism in Eukaryota, Metazoa, Chordata, Mammalia, Carnivora, Felidae.